RNAcentral lists this ribosomal RNA (806 nucleotides) under uncultured bacterium. RNAcentral's name for it is "bacterial SSU rRNA". It matches the Rfam family "Bacterial small subunit ribosomal RNA", at positions 1 to 813 of the family's 1533-position model. The record is from RNAcentral.
GAAUUCGCCCUUAAAGGUUGAUCAUGGCUCAAGACGAAAACUGGUUCGCCGCCUAAUGCUUGUCUGUCAAAACAAAGAGAUGGAGCUUGCUUCCUGAAUCUAGUGGCCAACGGGUGAGUAACACAUGAUGAACCUGCCUCUGAUAGGGGGACAACAUUUGGAAACCACUGCUAAUACCGCAUAAACCCACAGGUGCGGCAUCGACCAUAGGGAAAAGGAACAAUCCGCUUUGAGAUGGCCUCUCCUCCGAUUAGCUAGUUGGUGAGGUAACGGACCGCCCAUGCAACGAUCCGUAUGCGGAGUGAUACGCUGAACGGCCACAUUUGGGACUGAGACACGGCCCACACUCCUACGGGAGGCAUCAGUGGGGAAUAUUGCACUUUGGGGGAAACCCUGAUGCAUCUACGCCUCGUGGAAGAAGAAUGUUUUGAGAUUGUACAUUCGUGUUGUUGAGGAAGAUAAUGACGGUACUCGACAAGGAAGCCACGGCUAACUACGUGCCAGCAGCCGCGGUAAUACGUAGGUCACAAGCGUUAUCCGGAAUUACUGGGUGUAAAGGGAGCGCAGGCGGGAUGACAAGUCAGAAGUGAAAUCUAUGGGCUCAACCCAUAAACUGCUUUCAAAACUGUUUUUCUUGAGUAGAGCAGAGGCAGGCGGAAUUCCGAGUGUAGCGGUGAAAUGCGUAGAUAUUGGGAGGAACACCAGUGGCGAAGGCGGCUUACUGGGCUCCAACUGACGCUGAGGCUCGAAAGCAUGGGGAGCAAACAGGAUUAGAUACCCUGGUAGUCCACGCCGUAAACGAUGAU